Non-coding RNA from Pelobates cultripes (western spadefoot toad), 211 nucleotides. NCBI's taxonomy places the organism in Eukaryota, Metazoa, Chordata, Amphibia, Anura, Pelobatidae. The record is from the annotation of a GenBank genome assembly.
ACAAGUCUAUAGAAACAAGAAAUUCUGCAGCUGCUAGAGGAAAGCGACAGAUUUGUCAGAGGGAGUGAAAAUAAUAAUGAAGUAGAAAUGCUCUAACUGGAAAGAUAGGAUUCCACCAAGUCCUAAAGGAGUUAAAAUAGAUAAACUAAGAACACCCUAGAGUGCAAAUCUCCAGGAGCAAAGAUUCGAUAUAUUCAAUAACAAUAUGGAA